Komagataeibacter medellinensis NBRC 3288 is the source of this 100-nucleotide non-coding RNA. NCBI's taxonomy places the organism in Bacteria, Pseudomonadati, Pseudomonadota, Alphaproteobacteria, Acetobacterales, Acetobacteraceae. The record is from Rfam.
GGGCAGGACAGGUGAAGUAGGCCCACGCUAACGGCGUGACUACUUCACAUAAACCUUAUGCGCACCUGUAGUGCUUAACGGUGUCCUGUCUUGCGGUGCA